UACGUAGGUGGCGAGCGUUGUCCGGAUUUACUGGGCGUAAAGGGAGCGUAGGCGGACUUUUAAGUGAGAUGUGAAAUACCCGGGCUCAACUUGGGUGCUGCAUUUCAAACUGGAAGUCUAGAGUGCAGGAGAGGAGAAUGGAAUUCCUAGUGUAGCGGUGAAGUGCGUAGGGAUUAGGAAGAACACCAGUGGCGAAGGCGAUUCUCUGGACUGUAACUGACGCUGAGGCUCGAAAGCGUGGGGAGCAAACAGGAUUAGAUACCCUGGUA
RNAcentral lists this ribosomal RNA (269 nucleotides) under uncultured prokaryote. RNAcentral's name for it is "partial 16S ribosomal RNA". It matches the Rfam family "Bacterial small subunit ribosomal RNA", at positions 524 to 792 of the family's 1533-position model. The record is from RNAcentral.